GACGAACGCUGGCGGCGUGCUUAACACAUGCAAGUCGAACGGAGACAUUUUUGUAGUAAUACGAGAAUGUUUUAGUGGCGGACGGGUGAGUAACGCGUGAGCAAUCUGCCUAGAAGAGGGGGAUAACACAGGGAAACCUGUGCUAAUACCGCAUAAAGUAUCGAGGAGACAUCUUUUUGAUACCAAAGGAGCAAUCCGCUUUUAGAUGAGCUCGCGUCCGAUUAGCUAGUUGGCGGGAUAAAAGCCCACCAAGGCGACGAUCGGUAGCCGGACUGAGAGGUUGGCCGGCCACAUUGGGACUGAGACACGGCCCAGACUCCUACGGGAGGCAGCAGUGGGGAAUAUUGCGCAAUGGGGGAAACCCUGACGCAGCAACGCCGCGUGGAGGAAGAAGGUUCUCGGAUUGUAAACUCCUGUCAUGCGGGACGAAAAUGACGGUACCGCAAGAGGAAGCCACGGGCUAACUACGUGCCAGCAGCCGCGGUAAGAUCACGUGUA
This 498-nucleotide ribosomal RNA is filed under the name uncultured bacterium. Its description in RNAcentral is "bacterial SSU rRNA". It matches the Rfam family "Bacterial small subunit ribosomal RNA", at positions 28 to 531 of the family's 1533-position model. The record is from RNAcentral.